RNAcentral lists this long non-coding RNA (337 nucleotides) under Mytilus galloprovincialis (Mediterranean mussel). Lineage: Eukaryota; Metazoa; Mollusca; Bivalvia; Mytilida; Mytilidae. The record is from RNAcentral.
GAUUAUUGAAUAUUUGCCAUUUAUAUAGUUUUCACUUAUUGUAAAGGAAGUAAAACAUUUCCCCAGUGUGAGUAGCUUUACCUGCAGUGUCCAUUUAAAUAUUUCGGACAAUGAACUGUCCCAUUGAGAGGAUACUGAGGAGAUCAUUUGUUUCUUCAUGUAAAUAAAUCAAUGAGUGAUGGAUAUCUCUCAGGAGAAAUAAAAAGGUCCCCAUUAAUAAACUCAACAGAGAACAAUAUUUGUAUUCUUUAAGUUAUAAAGUUCAUUGUCCAAAAAUUUAAAUCGUCCAUAACAAAAAUUCACCCAUUGUUGUACUCUAUGUUAUGUGUUCUUCUUG